This is a non-coding RNA of Plectropomus leopardus (leopard coralgrouper), 335 nucleotides long. The record is from RefSeq and is a predicted model, not a curated record. NCBI's taxonomy places the organism in Eukaryota, Metazoa, Chordata, Actinopteri, Perciformes, Serranidae.
GAUUCUGAUGGUGCUCUCUGCCUGGUGGAGGCCCUUCACGCCACAACAGGCCUUGUAACUGAUGAAGAGGAUGAAACUGUGUCUGCUGCCUUUACAGAGGGGGAUUCAGAAAGGCAUACAGAGAGCAUGGCUGGGCAACAGCAGGACGGUCCCUCAACUUCCACUGCACAGAUGGACACAUUACCAGUAAAAGAGAUGUACAAAAUACACUUGCUGAAAAAAAUCCAGAAAACAGAUAAAGAAAUACAAUACUUGGACCGCCAGGUUAGGAGGGCCGAUCUGGAAAUUGAAAUACUGGAGCUCCAGUUAGAGGAAAUAAAGAAGACCAAAUGAAA